Long non-coding RNA from Leguminivora glycinivorella, 1677 nucleotides. RefSeq lists it as uncharacterized. The record is from RefSeq and is a predicted model, not a curated record. NCBI's taxonomy places the organism in Eukaryota, Metazoa, Arthropoda, Insecta, Lepidoptera, Tortricidae. The transcript is spliced from 3 exons.
UAAACCACUCGCUAUGCUCGCGGUUCAAUAUUGGAAUCUUUCGCUUGCUCGGGUUUCAAUAUUGGCACGUGCGGUUAAACAACAACUUUGCCCCCUUGUAAAACAAAUAACAAUUACAAAUUAUAAAAGAUGUAUUUGAAAAUCAGGCUUUAAUUGUUUUUAUUUUUGCAUUGUAUUGUGUAUCUAUAGUGUUAAUAAAAAUUAUUGCUUAAAUGUUUUGUUAUUUUGUGAUAACAUGUUAGUUAGGUUACCAUAAGCCUUUUGACACCAAGCAUACCAAAAGGCAUCCAAAGGCGUCAGAAGUUGUCGUUCUCAUAGCAUAGUUUACAUUAGUUCGUUGGCGGGUGAGUGACGUAAGUCUUACGACUUUGGUUCAAUUUUGGAAUUUUUCGCUUGCUACGAGUAAAUCCCUUGUAAAAGUAAGACUAUUUUUCGUCGUGAAAAUAAUGAAGAAGUAGUUACGUUAUGAUAUUUCAGAGCGACAAUUUUUGAUGUUAGUGGCGCAAGGGAGGGUAGGUCUUUGCCCAGCAGUGGGACACAAAAAUAGGCUAGAACAGAAAUCUUCAACACACCUAGCUCAAAAACCUACAUGAGCAAAAGGUACGGAAGUACGCAGAAUUCACCACCGGAAAGAAUCUACAGAAUAAAUUUUGUCAUAGGUAUAUCUAUGAGUAUUAGUUGACUACGGUAACGGAACCCUAAAAUAGGUUUCUGUUUAACAACGAAAUUUGCCCAUCGUCAAAAAAUCUGACACAUAAAGUUCUCUUUGCUGAUAAUAGACACAAAAUCAUAAAUGACAAAUGUCACGUAUUAAAAACAGAAGAUCAAAAUUGUCACUCAGAAACCAACAAAACCGUUUAUCGGGACAACAAAAUGUAAAGCGUAGGGAAAGAUUCAUCAGUUGUUACAAAACAAUCAAGAUGCGCCGCAUAAUUUCCAGAAGAAUGCAAUAGAAAAACCGACGCAAAAUGGCACCCUCAAUUCACCCACCAUGCACCCCGAGCGCAUCUUGCACGAAGGGGCAACCCUUACGCUGUCACCCCAGUGUGCCUCCGUGCACCCGGCCAGAACAAUGUCUAGCGAGGACCACCAAAAAAGGCAUAAAGCCUUGCCAAAGUGCAGUAUCCAUAAUGUCUACAAGAUCCAAAGCCUCAUGUGGAUAUUGCAACAAGUAUUCAGAUGGCGGCUCAGGCAGAAUCAUGAAUACUUCGACACCCCGAAACACUGACCAGAUUCAAAAAUACCUUAAGAGAAAAUCGAAGGAGGCAAGACUGAGAAAAUACGAUAGGUUGCACGGAACGCAUAGAUAUUUGAAAUACCAAAGAUCGAAGGGGACACCUCGGGCUCAAAAUGAAUGUUGUGCUGGAAAAGGUCACAGAGGCAGGCUCAGGCGCUCUGGCUGCCGGCAUUGCUGCGGGAAGUGUUGCAGCCUCGCCUGCCGGCAGAACUGUCAGGAGUGCUGUGACGAGUGCUGCUGUCCAUGCUGCGGUACUUACUGCAGUCGCUACUGCACAAUAAUCUGAAGUAUACACCGUCGAACCGCCUAAUAACCGCGUCCAGUCAAACCGAGUCAACCAGAAACCGUGUCCAGUAACCAAACCGAUAUGCCAAUAUUGUUCUUAGCCAUCCAUUAUACUUCCAGUACAGUAAAUGAAAUAAAAUAAAUUACGUGUUAAA